GAUGAACGCUGGCGGCGUGCUUAACACAUGCAAGUCGAACGAUGAAGCCCAGCUUGCCGGGUGGAUUAGUGGCGAACGGGUGAGUAACACGUGAGUAACCUGCCCUUAACUCUGGGAUAAGCCUGGGAAACUGGGUCUAAUACCGGAUAGGAGCGUCCACCGCAUGGUGGGCGUUGGAAAGAUUUAUCGGUUUUGGAUGGACUCGCGGCCUAUCAGCUUGUUGGUGAGGUAAUGGCUCACCAAGGCGACGACGGGUAGCCGGCCUGAGAGGGUGACCGGCCACACUGGGACUGAGACACGGCCCAGACUCCUACGGGAGGCAGCAGUGGGGAAUAUUGCACAAUGGGCGCAAGCCUGAUGCAGCGACGCCGCGUGAGGGAUGACGGCCUUCGGGUUGUAAACCUCUUUCAGUAGGGAAGAAGCGAAAGUGACGGUACCUGCAGAAGAAGCACCGGCUAACUACGUG
Molecule: ribosomal RNA, 466 nt
Filed under: uncultured bacterium
Lineage: Bacteria
Description: partial 16S ribosomal RNA
Rfam family: Bacterial small subunit ribosomal RNA
Source: RNAcentral